CCUACGGGUGGCAGCAGUGAGGAAUAUUGGUCAAUGGGCGCGAGCCUGAACCAGCCAAGUCGCGUGAGGGAAGACGGUCCUAUGGAUUGUAAACCUCUUUUGUCGGGGAGCAAAAGACGCCACGCGUGGCGUUCCGAGAGUACCCGAAGAAAAAGCAUCGGCUAACUCCGUGCCAGCAGCCGCGGUAAUACGGAGGAUGCGAGCGUUAUCCGGAUUUAUUGGGUUUAAAGGGUGCGCAGGCGGAAGAUUAAGUCAGCGGUAAAAUUGUGGGGCCCAACCUCUUCGAGCCGUUGAAACUGGUUGUCUUGAGUGAGCGAGAAGUAUGCGGAAUGCGUGGUGUAGCGGUGAAAUGCAUAGAUAUCACGCAGAACUCCGAUUGCGAAGGCAGCAUACCGGCGCUCAACUGACGCUCAUGCACGAAAGUGUGGGUAUCGAACAGGAUUAGAUACCCCGGUAGUC
Molecule: ribosomal RNA, 459 nt
Filed under: uncultured bacterium
Lineage: Bacteria
Description: partial 16S ribosomal RNA
Rfam family: Bacterial small subunit ribosomal RNA
Source: RNAcentral